GACGAACGCGGCGGCGUGCCUAAUACAUGCAAGUAGAACGCUGAAGGAGGAGCUUGCUCUUCUGGAUGAGUUGCGAACGGGUGAGUAACGCGUAGGUAACCUGCCUGGUAGCGGGGGAUAACUAUUGGAAACGAUAGCUAAUACCGCAUAACAUUGACUAUUGCAUGAUAGUCAAUUGAAAGGUGCAAAUGCACCACUACCAGAUGGACCUGCGUUGUAUUAGCUAGUUGGUGGGGUAACGGCUCACCAAGGUGACGAUACAUAGCCGACCUGAGAGGGUGAUCGGCCACACUGGGACUGAGACACGGCCCAGACUCCUACGGGAGGCAGCAGUAGGGAAUCUUCGGCAAUGGACGGAAGUCUGACCGAGCAACGCCGCGUGAGUGAAGAAGGUUUUCGGAUCGUAAAGCUCUGUUGUAAGAGAAGAACGAGUGUGAGAGUGGAAAGUUCACACUGUGACGGUAUCUACCAGAAAGG
RNAcentral lists this ribosomal RNA (477 nucleotides) under Streptococcus cristatus. Its description in RNAcentral is "bacterial SSU rRNA". It matches the Rfam family "Bacterial small subunit ribosomal RNA", at positions 28 to 491 of the family's 1533-position model. The record is from RNAcentral. Lineage: Bacteria; Bacillati; Bacillota; Bacilli; Lactobacillales; Streptococcaceae.